Long non-coding RNA from Acinonyx jubatus (cheetah), 18109 nucleotides. RefSeq lists it as uncharacterized. Lineage: Eukaryota; Metazoa; Chordata; Mammalia; Carnivora; Felidae. The record is from RefSeq and is a predicted model, not a curated record. The transcript has 9 exons.
GACCUGAGCCGAAGUUGGACACUCAACCUACUGAGCCACCCAGGAGCCCCUAAGACAGCCUCCAUGUUUCAGUGGAGUGAGGGUGGGGGGCAAGAGCCAGUGUUAAGGACUGAAUGGAAUUGAGGAAAUGGAUCUUCCAGCAAAGAAGGCUGACUCGUCCUCUGAGGUUAGGGGUGGGACUGAGGAGGAGUGGGUGCCACAGAGUUAAGUCAGCACACAGGAAAGGGUGGUGGAGGGGACAGCCUCCAUGGCUCAUGUUCUCAGUCUGUGGGAACGCCGGCAUCCCCAGAGAGUCCGGGCUGUGCAGGCUGGGCAGGAGGCAGGAAGAAAGGAGCACAGACCUGAGGGAACCCUGAGAGGAAUGGACAAGCUGCUGAGCAGCCACCAGCUACUGGAAGGUCACAUUUACUGGGACCUCAGCCACCGUGCUAUGGAGGUGGCACUGCCUGGCAUGUUUCCCUCUCUCCCUAUGACAAAUAUCUGCAUUUUUUUGGUGAUAGAUUUGACUUUGCAGUUAGUAGCCCUGCAUCUCCCUGUGGGAGGAGGACACUCCAAAGGCCUUGGCGUUAACCUAGAGUCUGGCCAGCAGGGCAGAGGGCGGAGCUGGAGGAACAUCCUGACUUCCUGCAAUCAAGGUUGGGCACCUGGUCCAUCCUGCCAUUCCUCAGAAUGUCUCUGCCUGUCCUCGAAGAGGGCUUACCCUGGAACAGGCCACAAGCCAAGGGAGGAGUCCUGCUCAGAGUAGAAGCCUCUACUGCAGCCACUGUCCCCAACUACAGCUCAAUUGUACCCCUCCCUCCCAGGCUUAUAGCCCACUCGAACUGCCCCCCACCUUCCCUGCCCACCCUGAAUGCCCUCCACCGUGACCUCAGGCUCACAGACCUCUUGACCACCCUGCACCCUUCUGCCUCAUUCCUGUUAGAAUGCCCUUCGCUUCAGCUCAAUGCGAUGACAAUGUCCUUCUUUGUUUUUCCAACUCUCUUGGCAUUUUGUAUCCACUGCUUCGCUAUUGCUAGUUUUCAUGGUAGUGUGUCUUAUCCGUCCCCACCCCCAACAAAGGUCGAGUGACCUCGAGGGCAGGGAUGGAAUGUUGCACAUUUGGUUUUGGCAUUCCCCAGCACCAACUCCAUAAUCGCUGCUAAAUAAAUAUUGUUGGUUUAUUUGGCUGGCCUGGUGGAUAAAGCAGGCAAUCGAUGCCCUCUGCCUGGGGGCAGGCUGGUCCUUUUCUGACCCAUGGAAUGCCAGGGUUUAAAGAGCAGCCUCAGUCCCUGGGUGGAGACGGGGGAACGUGGCCAAUAAAUGUGACUUCCUUAUUGAAAAGGGUGAGGAUGGUGCCUGUUAGUGUUCCCUGGUUGUUGGAGACAUGCCACCGUAGGACUGCAUUUGGAGAAGGGUGUGGAGGGGAGGCCCGCACCUGCCAUGGCUCCCAUGGCUCCUGCAAUCCCCCAGCCACCUGCUCACCGGCCAUCCUGCCCUGAUUUCCAGACUUGCUCAUUCCUGCGGGCAAGGCCUGCCAGUCACACAGGUGGCCCCACAAAGCAGAGGGCAUAGCCACCCAGUGUCCCUUCUGCUCACUGUCCUGUCGCAAAGGCAAAACAAGACUUUUUUCUCCCAUCUGAUUUAUGGAGCAGGGGGAAGAAAUGUGUAAAUAAGAAACACAGAGAGAGCUACUAUUCCUUCCUGGACUUCGUUGGAGAGAUUUCAGGGUUUGUGUUUGGAGAUCUUGGGCUUCGCCUGCUGAGUCCACUUGCACCUGGUUGUAGGGCUGACCCGUGAAUGUUGGGAGGCCAAACUCUGUUUAAAUGUUGGUCUAAAGAAGGCCCUUUCUGGGAUUUUCAGAGGAGGAAUAUUACGGGAUGAGUAAUGGUCUUGAGCGUCCUUAUUAGAUAAGAUGUUUGGAUUUGGUCUUAAAACUGGAACAAAUCAAAAGGCCAUUUCAUUGCUCCUUAUGGUUAGAUGUGAAUUAAAAUCAUGGAUUUUCUGAUUCACCCAAGGCCAGACUAUCCUUCAUUUUAAGCCUUGAUGUUUCCGCACUUAUCUUGGUUUCUUGGGUUGUUUCUCACACUAAAAAGGACAAUGUAACACUUGGGCAGUGCAAAAAAAAAAAAAAAAAAAAAAAAGGUUUCAAGGCAUUUCAUUACAAAAACUUCAAAUUCCCUUCGUUCAUCCUAGCUCCCUUCCAGGCCACACACCAGGGACCCUUUACAGUACACCUGGAGUAGGCUUCUUACACAACCCCUUCUAAAAUAGCACUAAAUGCCAGGGUAGGGCACGGGGUCAUGUACUAUAGAUAAUAAUGAGGGAGCAGCUACAGGUUAGGAAUGGCGAUGUGCUCAUCCUAGCUGCCCUAAUUACUCCAGCCUUUAACAUAGGAUUGGCAAGUUCUGGAGCACUGGAUCAUUGGAUUCCAAGGAUCAAACUUGCUUUCCUGUUCUCUCAGACAUCACUGGGUCCUGAGGUCCAAGUUCUCUUUGCUUCAGGCUAAACCCAGCUGCUCGACUCAGCAUGGGAUCACUUGGGUAGCAAUUGUUGGUCUUUCUGUAAUCACAGGAAACAAUUUUGCAGAUGGGACGGUCUUAGUGCCAAGUAUCCUGUCCUAUCAUCUUCAUAAAUAUGCUCAUACUCGUCGGUUCACAUGUCCCACGUUGGGCGGUGAGAUCUGGCCAUUGAUAGCAUAAGACAGCAACAAAACAACAUUUUUGGUCAACUCUAGCAUAGAACACUGAUUGUCAAAUUCUAAUGCACCUGUGAACCACCUGGGGCUCUCCUUAAAAUGAAGGUUCUGGUUCAGUAAGUCUGGGGAGGGGCUUGAGGACUCUGCGUUUCUUUUUUUUUUUUAAGUUUAUUUAUUUGAGAGAGAGCGAGAAAAAGCAUGAGUGGGGGAGGGGCAGAGAGCGAGGAAGAGGGAGAGAAUCCCAAGCAGGCUCCACACUGGCAGUGCAGAGCCCGACGCGGGGCUUGAACCGGUGAACUGCAAGAUCAUGACCUGAGCCAAAGUACUGCGCUUAACCGACUGAGCCGCCCAGGUGCCCCGAGACUCUGCAUUUCUAACAAGCGCUUAGGGGAUGCCCCACAGAAAACCAGUCUCCUUUAAGGUUUAAAACCCAAGAUUCCAAGUAUGUUUUUCAUAUUUGGUGGAACAAAACCAUCUGAAGGUAUUUGGGUUCUGAUUUAGUCCCACGGCCCCUCCUCUUGAACUCUGAGUUCACCUGCUUCUGACCCUAGAGGACUUGAGUUAUUUGGCUUUUAAUUCCAAGAGACAGGAACCUUUGGGACCUGCCUAUUAUUAGUGCUUGAUGAAUGCUGUUUGUUCUUAUUGGAACUGAUUAUGAGUGUCCUUUGAAUGUUAGGUUCUAAAUCAGCCUUGCAAACUUAGUGGCACCUAACUAAUUUUGGUCCUGGCUCAUCUCCAUUCUAUCUGGCCCCCAAAGCCUUUCAUCAGGUCAUGCUAUUUCCUUGGCUUCAGAUACAACUGGUAUUUGUAUAUGCCAAAACUUCAUUCUGUAAUUCACCGGCUUCCUGAAUUCAGACAGGCUGUACCGAAUUAACGUAAGGUGGAAUCAUAGCAUAUCAGGACCAUAAGGGACUUCAGAGGCCAGGGCCUGCACUGACCCUUGGAGAUCAUUCUUGAGCUUCUUUUGGGCUUCCUAAGGUGAGUAGGGGUGCUCCUGCCUCAUAAAGUGGCCUAUUUGGUAGCUGUGAUGUUCCAAGAGAGGGUCCUUAAGUAUCCUCAGCUACACAUUACCUAUCCAUAAUUUCUGCUGUGGUGCUGCCUUCUAAAACUAACUCCUCAUCAGAAUAGUAUGGCUCUUCAACCAAUUUAAAGUUACUCUCGUGACUCCCUGUUUCUUAUCUCCAGGCACAAAUAUCCCCUUUCUUCAACUAUUUCUUAUAUACUAAAGUUUCCAGAUCCCUCACUUUCCUGGUCAUCAGGCUCUGACAUGCUCUAGUUUACCAAUGUCCUCCUUUGCCUAGCCUUCUCUGAUAUGGCCUGUCCAAGCCUGAUUCUGAAUGUCUACAUUGGCAGCCAUGUUUUGCUAUUGAUUUGUAUUGAAUAAAAAAACUUUUCCAGGGGAUUUUCAAGGGGAGAUGAAUUUCCCGAACUGGGGCAUUGACCCCUUGAAUCCAGUGCAGAUGUUUACAUUGAUCUUUAUUGAAUUUCAUCUUGUUUCUUUCACCCAUUCUGUCCAUCCAUCCAGUUGAGAUCUUGCAUCCUGAUUCUGUCAUCUAGUACGUUAUGGAUUCCUCCCAGCUCUGGUUGCCACAAAUUUGCUAUAUCCAGCCCUUUUAGCUUCAUUGUUGGGGAUAAAACUUGAAAUAGAGGAGUGCAAAUGCUGAUCCCUGUGCCUUUUACUAAGUCCAUUUGCCCGUUCAUUUAUUCAUUCACUUGCUCAUCCUUCCAACAAACUUAGGUUAAGGGCUACUGUGCUCUGGGCACUGUGCUUGCUGCUAGAGACCCUGCAGCAAAUAAGACAUGGUUUCUAUUCUUGAAGGCUCAGUAUCCAGCAGGAUGACCGUCUCCUUCCAAACCCUUAUCCGUGAUAGCCUACUUGUUACCAGGAUACUCACAGCCUGUGGGACCUUUUAGAUUCUAUCACCUCCCAGGCCAGCCUCCAAUUCCCCGACUACCUGCUUUCCUUAUAAAGUAAGGACCAGGAUCCUGGGAUUUGGAGAAGGACCCAGACGCCAAGAGUAUCCAAGUGCCGCAGGCUCUACAGAGAGAGGUGAAAAGGGAAUAGGAGAGAGAGGGAGAGAGAAGUGAAAAGCAGAAGGAAAGCCCAGAGGAUGCUGGGAGGGAAGGAAACCCUUUGCCCUGUUGGUUGGUUGGAAGGCCAGUGUGGUUGGCUGGAUGUGACUGAAUGCACGUGUGAGGUGAACAUGCAUGGGGCAGGACAUGCCUGUGUAACCAGUGUGCAGACAAGCAUGGCCUCUGCCGUGAACAAAGCAGCACUUGAUUGCUUGCCUUGAUUCAGGGAGGGUAAUCUUCCCCAAAAGCUGGAUGCAAACUGACCAGGUCUUAUUUCUAUUUAUUGCUAGGUAAUAGAUUGUUACCAUCACUUCGAUUCACAAGUGAGCAAUUUCAAUGUCCCAUCCACGAUGUAAAAGUCAAAACUCCAAGCAUGGCUUGACAUUACAUUUUUCCCCUGCGCACCUCAGGCCUCCUGUAGGCAGAGAGGCUGGGGAGCGGAACCUCUCCUCUACGCCUGCUCACUGCCUCCAUUUGUUGGAGGCCUUUCUGCCGCAGCUACUGUUGGCAGCGGGAGAGGGAGGAGAGGCCAGGAAGCAGACAGCUCCCGCUUGGCGGUGGCAUUGCUCUUCCUGGGUCUCAUUUUCAGAUGGUCAGGGCUGGGGUCCUAGCUGGUGUCUCUGGAUGGGCAUGGGAGAUGAAGAAAGCCAGCUCUUUCCCUCCUAAGGGGUUCUCUUGGGCCCUUCAGAUGUUGUCACGGCCGGAGACCUCUCUCCAGUUCUUUUGACCUUGGGCUGCUAUGUCACCAUUAAGGGCGGUGGCUGAGGCCUGCUCCUGAGCUAGAAAUCUGGAGAAAUCUGGCGGGAUCCCCUCCGGCCUCUUUGAGCUGAGAUUGCCUUUUGCACUGCUGCUCAGGACCCAUGUUGGCUCCACGUCAGCUCUCUCUCGUCUGUGGCUACUUCGGGCCUGUGGGUCACAGUGCUCCAUCUCUUGUCCCAGCAUACUCUGGGAGUCCAGGGUCACCCCAAAGUGCUAGUCUCUACGGACUUGGCCAUGAAAGCCCUUAAGGGCCUUUUUCUCCCUGCUCCAUGGCCCCAGGCUGGAGGCAAAACCCAGCCCACAGCCUGCUUUAGCAUUCAGGGCCAUAGGUGAAGUGCCCAGGGGCUCCCAUCUUCAGGGAACAUUUUGCAAAGCGUCUUGAAGGUCCCUCACCAGGCUUGGGGAUAACAACCCCAACCUCUGCCUUAAAAGGAAGAGAAGGUGGCCUUCACUGUGGAGCUACGGCUCUUCACCCAUCUCCUCACAUACAAUCCUGUCUUCCCACACUCUGACCCUUUUUCGAAUCUUAAAAUAGGAGAUGGGGCUUAAGAAUUGAGAGCUGCCAUUUAAGAAAGCGGUUUGGUGUUACCCGCUAAGUUGAGAUGCUCAUACCUCGGUAUAGACCCAAGAGAAACCUCGACAUGUCCAAUGGGAGACAUGUACAAAACUGUUCAGAGCAGGGGCACCUGGGUGGCUCAGUCACUUGAGCGUCUGACUUUGGCUCAGGUCGUGAUCUUGCAGUUAGUGAGUUCCAGCCCCACGUCGGGCUCUGUGCUAACAACUCAGAGCCUGGAGCCUGCUUCGGAUUCCGUGUCUCCCUCUCUCUCUGCCCCUCCCCCACUCAUGCUCGCUCGCUCUCUCUCUCUCUCUCUCAAAAAUAAAAAUUAAAAAAAUAAAAAAAAAGAAAUGUUCAUAGCAGCUUUGUUUCCCAAGUAGGGCUGCCAGAUAAAAUAUAGGAUACCCAGGUCAAUUUGAAUUUUGGACAAUGAAUAUGUUGGUGAUAAGCAUGUCUCAAAUAUUUCAUGGGACAUACUUAUACUAAAAAAAUUAUCUAAAAAUCAAAUUUAACUGGGCGUUCUGUAUUUUUCACUUGCUAAAUCUGGAAACCCUAUACCAAGCCAAAUGCCCACCAAAAGGCAAGUGGAAGAAUAAAUUGUGGUAUACACACACAGUGGAAAAUCACACAGGAGUCUAAAUGAAUGACAGUUAUGUAGGAGAAUUUGGAUGAAUCUUAGCCAUACAAAAUCUGAAAAUAUAAGCUCCGAAAGAUUACACACAGAAUGUUCUUUUUUGUUGAAGUUAGAAACAACUAAAAUAUUUUAAUUUUCAGAGAAUGUAUGUAGCCGCAGUAAAGCUAUAUAAAAAGGGAAGAAUUGGGAUGAUGGAUAAAUGAUUCAAAAGCGUGAGAAACUAUGUCAAAUGGGGAGUCAAAGGCCUAGGUUAAUGGGGGUGGGGAAUGAUGCGUAGGCCAUGAUCAGGGUCCUGGCUUUUGUUUUGGGUAGCAGCUUUGCUGGUGCUCAUGGACCGUGCAUGAACUAAUGACAAGAGAAAGUCACUCCCCAGUAAUUAUGAGUAAUCUGAUGAUGGCACUUGAUAUCUGAAAAUUAAAUUUAAAAUAUAGAAAAGAAAAAAAAAAAAACAGAGGUAGGGAGAAUGGCAUCAUGAAAACAUACUCCUAGUGCUUUUCCACGCAGGAGGGAAGAGUAUUGGCAGGGAAGAUGCCUCUGCGUCCGAAGGGGCAACAGCUGAAAUGGACCUUGAAAAAUGGCUAGAAGUUCACCAGAUGGAGGAGGGAGGAGGAGCAUUCCAGGAACGGUGUGCCGGAGAGCCAAGCAGCACAGUAGAGCCUGGCCUGCUCCCAGGACAGCAGUGAAGCUCAGGGUGGUCCCAGCCAGACGUGGGUGGCAGCGGUGAGAAGAGAAGGUGGAGGUAGGGGUCGCAGGGGACAAAGUAAGGAUGUGGAAGAGCUUAUGUCCCCUGCCGAGGAGUGUGGAACUUACCCUUGGGCUUCGGGGCAAGGAAGAGCAGAAAGGGUUACGCAGGAAGCUGUGAUAAUGAGCCCUCAGAAAAUUCUUGUACUGAAAUGGGGAGUCUCUUGACCUCACGUACGCACACUAUUGAUAAUAAGGCUGUCACAUAUGGCGGAGGGUCGAGAGGGCUGGCAAGGCAAGUGCUAAAAAGACAGGGCCUCGUGAGCUUCGUGGCUACUGAGUAAAAAAUGGUCAAGGGAAGGGUUGUAACUAUGGUUUAAAAUCAUAAAUACGGGAUGACCCACAGCUCUGAGAACAGAGAUGGUCAGCGAUUUGGUGGAAAGGGGAGUAGCCGAGAAGGUUGGCUGAUUCUCCAGAGGCGAUCCUACAAAAAAAUAUAAAACCAUUAAUGAAGGAAUUGGGAGAGAAUCCCUUGAUGGCGCCUCUGGACUUCUUGCGUCUCGCCUGCAUCGGCCACUCCUCCCCUGCUACACCCAUGGGAUUUGUUCUCUGAAUUUAUUCUAUUCUAGUAGUAAAGCACACAGGCUACCCCAUGUGGGGUAAUGUGUGCAGCGUUACAGAUACCCAAACGAAUAAGCUAUAGCUCAUGCCCUUAUUGAGGCUACAAGCCAAACACAAACCAUCUACAACUAGUUAUACUAAUGUUUGGAAAGUGCUAGAACAGAGUGACAUACACUCUGGAAUCAACAAGAGGGGGCGAUCGGUACUGUCCGAAACGGGGGUGUCAAAAACAGGGUAGCGUUUGAGCUAGAGGUUGACAGGUGAGGUUGGAAGUUGGACAAGCUCAAGAUGGAGGUGGGCGGCACACGAGCAGAGAGGGCGGCACGGGCACGGGCCCGAAGGUGAGGCUGCCACGGUAGGCUGGCGCCAGGUAGGGACAGGCCUUCGAGAUCCUGCUAAGGAGUGUGAACUUUGUUCUACAUGUCCUGGCUGUUGAGCAGGGCGGUGUCAGGAGCAGAUCUGGGUCAUUGGAACAAGCCUCCUGGCCACGUGCAGAAGAUGGAAUGAAGGGGGCCGAGGUUAAGGUCACAGGGAACAGCUGGGAGGCAGCUGCCCGAGUUCCUGUGAGUCCUGACAAGACUACAGAGGGGCCGUGGGGCCGGACAGCCAGGGAUUCUGGGGCCAGAAGAGGCCUUGGUUGUGAGAGCGAUGUGAGAAAGGCACUUGAUAAGCUGCCUGCAGCAGUUUCUCCUAAGGGGUCUGCCAAAAACUGCGUGGGAUUUCAGGGUCUGGUUUUCUUCGCCUUCUUCAGGUCGGUUACAUUUCCCAGAAUGGUUCCCAGCGCUGGAGAUAAUUCCUUUUCGGAGAACCUACAUUUCUCACCUGCUGAUUGCAAUUAGCCACUGCCAGCUGGGGCCUGGUGUGCAGCUGAAAAGCUAACAAGAAGUGGAGACCACGCGGAACCCAGACAGGGCAGAGGAUGUGAAUAAAUACGGAAUGGUGCCUGUGUUUAUGAGUCGCUCCGCUGAAUUCCAGGUUUCCUGACCCUCUGGAUGGCCCUCCUUCUUCCGGCUCUGUGCUCCCCGCCCCUCCCCUACCAAUUUUUUUUUUUUUUUUUUUGUCUCUGGGUCUGUACCCUACGUUUAACAUCACAGUCACGAAUUUACCACUAAGUACAUUUUGUUAGGCAAUAAACAGCCUCGGAAGAAAAAUGAAAUCGGACUAGGGCUUCUGUUCCAAUCAUGUUUGCGAGCUGUGCUGGAAUCAGGCAGGCCCUGCACGCAGGUCUUAGAGCUAACCUUGAAUAUGAGGACUGGCAGGGCCUGGAGAGGCCUUCAGGAUCACUAAUCUGAACCCCUCAUUUUAUGCAUGACAACAUGAAGUCCCAGAGGGAGAGCAUGACUUUUCCAAAGUCUUAGAGGAAGUCACAGGGCUGGAUGAAGUCCAUGUCUCCUGAUGGCCAGCUCAGGACUCUAACCACUGACCUGUCUUGGCUUUGAUCAUCGUGGACAGCCAACUUCUAGAGUUUGUGAGGAAAGCAUCAAGGACGUUGCCAAGCGUUGGAAGGAGUGUGGGCGAUUGUCUCCUAUGCUUGGAUGCUCCAUCUCAGGCCGUGGCAUUUGGCAGAAAUCAGUGAUUUUUCAGAACGUUGGAAGGUCAGGCUGCCUGCAGAUACAGACCCUUUCCUCGGCUGCCUCAUUGCCAGUUACAUUAACUACAGUCUGUGACAACAGUUUAUUAAUACUGUACUGUGGUCAAUAUCUAUGCGAGCGUAUAUGGUGACCCCAUGCAGAAAAGUAUUCCAUGGAGCCUACAGACAUAGUGACUCCGUUAGUGAUAGUGGAAGUCAUCCUACACAUUAACCCUCCUCUCCCACGUCUGCCUCACACCAGUCAUGAAGGUUUUCAGAGACCAUGCUGUCCCGGACCCGUUUUUCUCAUGGCGAUGGCAAAAGAAUGAGAAAGGAGAAUUGGAGCCGGCACGCUAUCUCUUCUGCCUUGUUCUUUUGGACACAGCGGUCAAUGGCUGAACCCAGGAUCCAGGAGUACACUCCGCCUCUCGAUGGCAAAGGGUGCGGAUACGAGGAAUGACAUAGCAUCGUGGUCGUUGACGCCAUGCGUCACACUUGCCAAGAGAUGCUGCUUUCCCUCUUUCAUCGGGUGCCAGAAUCUCCCACCAGGUACCACCACUGCUCCACGCCAUGGGCGGGCCCACGGGGGAGGCGCCAGACUCAUGUCAGGCCCCAAGCUGUCGGGGGGAGGAGAGGAGAAUGCAGUGCUCCCUUCUUUGUUAUAACCUGGGUCAUAGAUGCUUGUCACCCUGAAUCUCUUAGAAACCUUAAUAAAAUGGUUUUUUACUUAUGGCCCUUCUCUCUCUAGGAACGGUGUCACCCUUAGUGUUGGGAUGGGAGGAAUUUAAGUGAGAGCCCCUAGGUGUACUCAGAACGAUUGCUCUCCUCCAAGAAUGUGGUCAAACUGGAGUCUGUCUUCUUCCCCAAGACAACCUCGGGGAAUACUAAUGAGGUCGUAUCAAGUUUCUUUGCUUCGUUAACAGAUCUCCAGCCAUUUCAGCACGGUUUGGGCCUAAAAUAUAGAAAUCUGCUCUCAUGAUGACUGUCCAGUUAAUGACUUUUUGUCAUAACAGCUUUUAGAAUUUAUUUAUUUAUUAUUUAUUUUUAUUUAUGUUUAUUUUUACUUAUUCCAGCUUUAUUUUAUUUUUAUUAUAUAUAUACAGUAUACUGUCAAGUUAGCUAAUAUACAGUGUAUACUAUGUGCUCUGGGCUUCGGGAGUAGAUUCCCGUGAUUCAUCACUUACAUAUAACACCCAGUGCUCGUCCCAACAAGUGCCCUCCUCAGUGCCCAUCACUCAUUUUCCCCACCCCCCACCCCCUUUCACCCUCAGUUUGUUCUCUGUAUUUAAAAGUCUCUUAUGGUUUGCCUCCUUCUCUGUUUGUAACUAUUUUUUUUUCUUUUCCUUCCCCCAUGAUCUUCUGUUAAGGUUCUCAACUUCCACAUAUGAGUGAAAACAUAUGGUAUCUAUCUUUCUCUGACUUAUUUAACUUAGCAUAAUAUCCUCUGGUUCCAACCACAUUGCUGCAAAUGGCAGGAUUUCAUUCUUUUUCAUUGCUGAGUAGUAUUCCAUUGUACAUAUAAACCACAUCUUCUUUAAUCCAUUUGUCAAUGGGUGGACAUUUGGGCUCUCUCCAUAAUUUGGCUAUUGUUGAAAGUGCUGCCAUAAACAUUGGGGUACAUGUGCCCCUCUGUAUCAGCACCCCUGUAUCCCUUGGGUAAAUUCCUAGCAGUGCUAUUGCUGGGUCACAGGGUAGAUCUAUUUUUAAUUUUUUGAGGACCUUCCACACUGUUUUCCAGAGCGGCUGCACCAGUUUGCCUUCCCACCAACAGCGCAAGAGGGUUCCCGUUUCUCCACAUCCUUGCCAGCAUCUGUUGUUUCCUGAGUUGUUAAUGUUAGCCACUCCGACCAGAAAUUUUUUAUUUUUUUAAGUUUAUUUACUUUGAGAAAGAGUAAGCACAAGCAGGGGAGGGGCAUAGAGAGACGAAGAGAGAGAAUCAGAAGCAGACUCCGUGCACUGUCAGCGUGGAGCCCUAUGUGGGGCUCGAUCCCACAAACUGUGAGAUCAUGACCUGAGCCGAAAUCAAGAGUCUGCAGCUUAACCGACUGAGCCACCCAGGCACCCCAACAGCCUUUUCUUUUGCCAUUAUUCAUCUAUUUUAUUUUGUUCUGAUAUAAUUUUCUCACCUCAAAACACAAUAAAUACACUUUAAUCAAAAAGAAUGAAAUCUUGCCAUUUGCAACUACGUGGAUGGACCUGGAGGGUAUUAUGCUAAGUGAAAUUAGUCAGAGAAAGACAAAAAUCAUAUGACUUCACUCAUAUGAGGACUUUAAGAGACACAACAGAUGAACAUAAGGGAAGGGAAACAAAAAUCAUGUAAAAACAGGGAGGGGGCAAAACAGAAGAGACUCAUAAAUAUGGAGAACAAACUGAGGGUUAUGGGAGGGGUGGUGGUGGGGGGAUGGGCUAAAUGGGUCAGGGGCACGAAGGAAUCUACUCCUGAAAUCAUUGGUGCACUAUAUGCUAACUAAUUGAGAUGUAAAUUUUAAAAAAUAAAAAAUAAAAAAAAAAGAAGUGAUAUUUUGACCCAAUACUUCCAGGGAAUUCAGCAAAUUAAUUGAAACAUCAGUUUUUAGUCAGAGUAUAUCAUAUGGCACACAUUUGUAUCGUAUACCACGUUUGGAUGAGGCCAAAAUGUUUGGCCUUGCAUCCGUAGACUUACCGGCUUUUCUCUGUUGUCCGUGUGCAUUGCUUCCAUGUUUCUAAAACACUCUUCUGCUUAGUCUUUAUUUUGUCCUGGAGUGUUUUUGUCUUUGCUGUAACAUUACUUUUAAGGCACUUUAAAUGCAGGAUGACCAUGAGCCCAAGCAGGUUGAAAAAGUGAACAGAAUGGUAGAGAAAGAAUGCAUCUUCCAAAGAAUGACUCCCUUUCACCGUUCCUCCGGCAUUGACCGCUGCUAUCGAAUCUUCUUCCUUUGACAAGAGCAGGAAAGUUUCAGGAUCUGACAUUGAAUAAUGCUGCAGCAAGCAUGUACGCGCAAAUAUCUCCUCAAGAUCCUGUUUUCCAUUAUUUUGGGCAUAUAACCAGAAGUGGGACUGCUGGAUCAUAUGAGAAUUAUGUUUAUUCACCUGGAAAGCAGAAACUGUUGCUAACUGGAGCAGAAAAGUAAUUUCCAUUUGGAUGUGGCAAAAGAAGUCCAGGGCAUCAGAAGAGGAAGCCUCCUAUAGCAGAGACAGGAUCACCUUUGCCUGCAUUUCCAAAGGCAGAAACCUGGUCCGGGAGGAACUCUAAGACCCGAGGAGGCCACCUGGGAGGUACUGGAGGCGUGUGGAAAUCAGAGUAUCUUAGACCUGUCUUCAGUCAGAUUUUAACAGCCCCUUACUAGGCUGCUCGGAGCUUGUCUUACUUCCACGACCUAACUAUCUUUGGAAAAGGUUAGGACAUCCAUCCUUCCCAGAAUCCAGAGAUUGUGCAGGUGAGGGGCGUUUCUCAGGCACGUGCACUUUGCCACCAAAAGUCCUUUCUGGUGUCUUCGUUCGAGUUGCCUAUGGCAGGCCCUAAGGCAAUGGAUUGAUUGUCAUUUCUCCAGGAGGGAUAGACAACGGAUUGAUUGUAAGUCAUUUUUUCGGGAGGGCCAAGGAGUGAGGCAGGGAAGAGAAGGAAGGAGGCGACUGAAGGGUACGUCACCAAGCGGGUUACCACUCGGGGCAGUGGGAGCUGCUCCCGCUGGGGGAUGUCUGGACACGGCACGGAGCGGCUCAGGUGUUCCGGUGUUCUGGACACCUGCUGCCACCUCUCUGGAAAGCCACAGAACCGGCAGCCAUCAAGAGCACCGCGUAAGUUGGCUGUUCCGAUAGCAUCAUUCGUGGUCCACCCAGAGAAAGGCCGCGGCUGGAGGAGCUUUGCGCUGCCCUGCGAGAACUGGCUCAUCUGCACCCAUGCACUGUCUGAGGCCACCCGCGUCUGACAACAGAAGCCAGAGCCUCGGACCAGAGCCUCUGGCCACAGCCGUCACGUCUGAUUCCUAGGCCGCUCUGUCUCUAAUCUGGAGGAGACUCAGUGGCCAAGAUGUUUCUCAAUUGUCUGGACGUCCUCACGAAAUGACAGUAGAGGCUUUGGUCCUUCCUGCCUUCUCACCCCUGAGACACAUGCUGUCUCUGGCAAGGCAGUGUAGCGCAGUGAUUAAGAGCAUGUGUGUGCAGGGGCCCCUGACUCUUGCUUUCCUCUCAGGUCAUGAUCUCAUGGUUCGUGAGUUCAAGCCCCACGUUGGGCUCUGUGCUGUCAGUGCAGAGCCUGCUUGGGAUUCUCUCUCUCUCCCUCUCUCCCUCUGGCCCUCCCUCUCUUAUACUCUCUCUCUCUCAAAAUAAAUAAGUAAACUUUAAAAAAAAGAGUGUGUGUGCAUGUGUGUGUGUGUGCACACGUGCGUGUGCGUGCGUGUGUGUGUGUGUGUGUGUGUGCACGUGCACUUCCUCUGGGGUUAAGCUGCCUGGCUUCAAAUGCUAGGUUUGUUACCCAUGCAAGUCACUUAACCUCUCUGUGCCCCAUGUCACUCUCAUGAUACCACCUCAGAGGAGUGGUGCAAGCGUAAAGUUAUAGAAACAUCUAGAACCUUCUAAGGGCACCUGGCAAAUGCUUGGCAAAUGUCGACAUUUUCAUUCUGCUUGUGAGAUAAGGAAAACCCUGGAAGUGGGGAGAUGCACCCAAGGUCACAGGCAAGUUGGAUUUGUAGCAGAAAAGAACUGUGCCCGGCGGCAGCCCCUGCCCAACCCCUGGCCCAGCAGCCCCCCUUCCGCACACAUUUGGAGUCACCCGUCAUUGUGAUUCUCGUGGUUAACCCCCAAUCUCUGUAACCGCUCCAGCUCUAGAGCCUGGAUUUCUGCAUCAACUUCCCUGAGGCCAAACUUCCGAUCAUAUGACCCAAGCCGGACUCUUUCCUUGUUCCCCAGUCCCAGCUCCACACUCCUGUGCCCCAAUUCCCAUGUCUCAGCUUUCUCACACGGGCCCCGUCCCCCUUCCUUUGUGCAUUCAGCACAGUGCUUGGCAGCGGGUAGGUAACUGGGCAGGGGGCGUUGGCUGCACUAGUCUCUGCUUCGUGGCUGAGUCUAAGGAUUGAGACCAGGACCCCUACCUGUAACCAAAGCCAGUGACAGGAGACUGCCCCACACUGCUGGGCCCCUGGUGGCAUAUCCUGCUUUCUUGGAGCUUCCACGCACAAGCCACCGCGGCUUCCUGGGCCCCAUACUUUGUUGCAGCCUCAUUGUUCCAGUUCCCGGGUGUUUGCCUGGCUGGAGACCAGAAGUAGCUGUGACUUCUGGUGCCAGACUCAGCCUCUGGGAUAAACCUCCUCUAGCUGCACCUGCAGCCUGGCCAGCACCCCGAGAAUUACCCUGGGCCAGUGGGUGUGUCUGCAGCCUACUCUCUUCGGGGCCAGAGCUCCUGGUCCAGCAGGCACCUCAGACCACACCGGCUGCACCCUUUCCAUUUCUUCUCCAGAAAUGAACAGCAAAACGCCUCUGAUUUGGCGUCCAAUUCCAAAUUCAGAAAACUCUUGCCCACCCAGCCAGACACUGGCUGAUUCUGAAACCACUGCGUUUAUAGAUUAAGUUCAAACUAGAGUCAUUCUCGAGGCCCUACAACAUAUGUCUGUUUAAACUCACCAUUAAUUUGUUUCAUCACCAAUUCUAGGCGCCAGAGGUACGAAAAUUAAUAAGUCACAUCCGUUAUCUCCUGAUGGAGAAGGCAGAUGUGUAAGCAAAUAGCUAUUAUACGAGGUUAUAAACGCUAAAACACAAGUAUCAUUAAAAUGCUGUGGGAAUGUCAGUAAAGGAGGAAUUAAUCCUAUGGGGAAGGGUCAAAGAAAGCUUCAAAAUGGAGACCAUGCCUGAGCCAAGCUUGAAGCCCAGGUGGGAGCAUGUCAGCUGGAGAAAGGAGAAAGGGCGUUCGACUCUGUUUUUGCUUUCCUCCGUUUGCACCCGAGGUCAACAGGGCUCCCUCCGUUAACCACAUCUCCGUGUUUGCGAACCCCACCUGCACCAGUCCGCCCAACUUGUCUCUUUUGCUAUUUCUCUCUCCUUCUUCUCUUCAAUCUCCCGGUUCCCCAUCGUCCCCUGGAGGCACCCUCUGGAAGGUUGUAUAAGCGGUAUCCUUAAAUAGUCUUUUGUUUUUGUGAUAUACACAGCGUCAUGUUAGGCAUGUGUGCUCUUAAUUUACAUAAAAGGUAUUGUGCUGUGUCAUUUCCUUUCUAACACUGUUCACUCAGCACUCUUUUCAAAGAUCAAUGCAUUUGCUGUAUGGGCAUUUCGUUUUUCCUUCUAAGUGCAGCAUAGCGUUCUAUGGUGUGUGCAUACCUCAUUUUUCCCAUCAUCUCCCUUAAUAAUGGACACCGGGGUGGCUUAAUAGCUCUCUUCUUCCAUAAAGAACAUCCCCACAUAUGUCCUCUUACAGACCUGUGCGGGAAUUUUUCUCGACGGGAUUGCUCAGUGAUGGGCCAUCCACAUACUUAGUUUUACGACGGGUUGCCAAAUUGCUUUCAAGGUGCAUGUCCUCAGCCAAGAUUCAUCGAGCACGAACCUCCUGCCAGGUGCUAUUCUAUCCACAGAGGAUUUAGCCGUGAACGGAGUCCUUGCCUUCAGCGAGCUUACGGUCAAAUGAGGGAGACAGCAAUGAACUCUUAAGUGCACAAUGAAAAACCAUGCAGUGAAAAGUGCCGUGAAGACACUGAAACGGGUUUUGUGAACAGCUCUGGGGACCUGAUGGCCGUCAUCCAUCUUCGUCACCAUUAGAAAGCGCACCCACAGUAUGGUCCCUGCAGAAGGGGGAGCUUCCUCAAGGACUGAGGAGGCACUCAGAAAAUAAGCUGGACCAACGUGCAUCCUUUGCUUCCCGGGAGCUUAAAGAGAACAGCGUUGUGGCGAGGUGUUCGAGCUAAAUGCCCAAACGAUCAGCUAAUUACUUGGGUCUGAGCACAGCUGAACAAAUCCACCUUUCCAAGUCACCGCCAGAAGUUCGAGCAACUUCAUUCUGGCUGGAUUUCAGCACUGCACACCAAGAACCAGAUGACCGGGGCCAGGAGGGGCAUUUCUCACUUACCUGCUUCCUUCUGUUAAAGAAAAAAAAAAAAAUACUACAGUGUAAUCAGUUCUCCUGCCUACCGAUCUGGUGAGGGAUGGAGACAAUAUGAAGCACAUUCGGCCUCACUAGAAAUCACAACCGUGCAAUUAUAAACAGAAAUGAGAGACCGCUCUUUAUCCGCCAGGUUGGCAAGCGUUAAAAAGAUAGAAGGAUCAACGAUAUCUAGAGUUGGGGACAGCAGGGGGAAUUGGGGACCGCUGGACACUCUCGGUGGGAGUUUUCAUUGGCAAAGCCAUUUCGGAGGCAAUUUGGCAGCUUCCAGCGACAUUUAAAACGGUCACAGUCUUUGGCCCGGCAAAGUCCUCUUCUAAGCCAGCCUGAGAAACUACCUUGUAGAUAUGUCUGCACAUGUGUACCCAGAUAUAUACAUAUCUAGCUAUAGCUAGCUAGCUAGCUAGAGUGAAGAAUGCAAUCAAUCUAAAUGCCCAUCCAUAGGAGUGUUGUUAAAUAAAUAAAUCAUGGCAUGCCUGUGCAAUGGAGUUUUUGAUGCAUGUAUUGCCGGGGAAAGAUGUUCAAGAUAUACGAUCGUGAAAUAAAAGCCAGCUCUGGCUGAUAUGCAGGAUAGAAUCUCAUUAAUAUAAAAAAAGAGAUCUAUAUAUGUUCAUUUGCGUGUGUAAAGACUUUCCUACGGGGGAGGGGGGGUCCGAAGGGACACACUCCGACUGUUAACCCCCAACCGCUCCCCAGGGAGGGCAAUGGGAAAGAGGGAAGGGUGCCUUGAAAGGUUUCUCUCUGUGUACUUCUAAGUUAGCGUUCACGUAUGGCACGUGCCUUUAAAGGCAAUUUUCUCAGAAAAACAGAAAAUCGGGGGGCCGAUCUGCAUUUGUAUUUCAUAUGCCUCAUCUUCCUCCUCUUCAGGACCCAUCCUGAUCAUCACUUUCAAACCCCUGAGCCUUUUCUCUUCCCUGGCGCAUGACAAAGCCUGAAUCCUAAGCAUGCUCUUACUGUGGCUGAUAGCUCUGUCAGCUGUUAAUUAUUCAUGCUAAUGGAAGGGGCUGGAGGCACAGAUAAUGCAAAAUCAAGAGGAGUAAAUCUUUCAGAGCCUCUGUCGACUCCUCUCCUGGAUCCCCUGGGAACACCUUGCAUACUGUAGGUAUUUACUCAGCAAUAAAUAUUGAUUGAUAUGGAUUGAUAUUUGUCUCUGCAAUUUCACAUCGCCCACAUCCUCAGACGGGUAGAUACACACCCCUGGGCAGUGCCUUCCCCACAUCGGUACCGGCCCGGCCUUGCUUGCCCACGAGGACUAGCAAGCCCCCGUCACGAGCCACCAGUGGGCUAUUCUGUUCUCGGAUAGAACAGAGACGACAGGAGUCCUUGCUGUUACUUGUUUUUUUACACUAACUGAUCAGUAUGGCCACUGGUGGCCCCGCCUCUCUAGUGGGUUUUCAUCCAGCUUAUGCUCAGCACGAACAAGCCACCCACAACCAAGAUUUCACAGCCAUGAAAGUGGCUACAAUAAAAAUAGAUAC